Molecule: long non-coding RNA, 223 nt
Filed under: Homo sapiens (human)
Lineage: Eukaryota; Metazoa; Chordata; Mammalia; Primates; Hominidae
Description: HSALNT0130855
Source: RNAcentral
CUGUAAUCCAUUUAAAGGUUAAGUCUCCACCCCAGCGUGAACAUGGAUGCAUGCUGCACACAAUUAGCCAAUUAUGCAUGUCUAUGCUUCCUCUUUGUGAAUAUUCAUAGCUCCUCCUAUAACCUGUUGAAUAUGUACAUUUGGCCACGCUGUUCAGCAUAAAUCCCUGUCUUCCACUCUCGCAGUGCCUGUUUCCAGCAUCUGGCUAGAGACUAUGCUUCCC